CUUACUCAACCCACGUGGCUUAUCUCUUAGCAGACACCACAUACACUUGCUUCUCUCUGUUCUCUAGAGACUAGAGAUUCAAUCUCUGGGAACAACUAUGAAGCAUUUUUAUUGAAUAUAAACUACAUAUAUAAAGUUGACUAAAUUAAUUGAGAUAUACGUGCAAAAGGCUGGUCAACAUUAAAGUCGUCGAUUUCUUCAAACCUUUCCAUGCUUUUGAAAAGGCACCAGACAUUAAAGGUGUAAUGUCUUUAGCAUACAACUGCGUCAAACAAUCACAGAUCCCAUCACAAGAUGUUAUGUAAAAGUACUCAUCACAAGAGCUUAGUUGGACAACUCAAGUAAAAGAUUUGUCACCAGACACUCAAUAUAUUGAGAAUGCAGAAAACCAGAAACCGUGUGAGAAUGCACAAAUGUGAAUCCAGAAAACAAAUCAGCAUCAAGAUCCCAAUAACAAGAAACUGAUGUCGUAAGGCAUAAAUUGAGGAUCAAAGCUGAGGAAACUAAGAUUACUAGCUGAAGUUCGAUCAGGAAGAUCCAACGACGAAUUAGGUGUCCCAUAAACGAGACUUGGGGUUCGUUUGAUUUUUUUCUUUAGGUCCUAAUUAUGUGUAAAUUGUCUUCUCUCCUGAUAUACUUUUGAUAUACUUUUCGUACUGGUAUUGCCUAUGUAACUAUAGUGUGAUUUUGGAGCUGAAGCUUUAGUUACCUCAAGGUUAGGAGCCUUGCCAAAGGACAAUCUUUUGGUUACUGCUGACUAAAUUUUGAUUGUAUGGCGUUUGACUUAUGCAAUUAAGAUAGAAAAGGAAGAGCUGGGUAUAUUCAAGCCAGAACAAUGUUAUCGUCCGUGGACUUUUUUGCAGACCGCUGAUUUGUUAGCCUAUUAGGAAUUUGAAAUGCAGUAGCAUUCUUGAGUUCCUUUCAACAGCUUUUCAGAUGUAUAUUAGAAUUUUUUUAUGCAACAUUACAGUUUACUGAUUUUGCUAGAAGUUCAAAUCAUUUCACCACUGUAUGAGUUCAUUCAUUUCGUUUAUAAUUUCAGAUGUUGUUUAGAAUCUGAUAACCGUUUGCUGAUAGACUUCCAAUUUCUCCUACCUUGCUGUUUGCAUGGUAUGGAAAUUUUGAAAGUUGAAGACUGGAGAUAUCUGAUCUUUUCAACUUUUAUGCGAGUGAGAGGUGUCUUUAGCGGGAAUUGUUCCACCAGGCACUUCCAUUGGUGUUGAUAAGUUUAUAUGUAGCAGUUGGACAAGAUUCCCAGUCUAUGAGCUGAUUGUGGUUGGUGAAGGCAAUUUUAUAUUAGCUCUGUUGGGAGGCAAAUGUAGUAUAAUUCAAUUGAAGUAUGAGAUGUUAGAAUGAGAAACAUAUGUUUUUAGUAUAAACAUUACACAGAUAUCUGCAAUUUUCCUUCCUUGUGCUAAGCCUGCAAACCAUAUCAAAGUUGUUAAUCCGAAGGAAUGAAAUCUAAAUUGCAUUUGAUGGGUAGAUCUUAGCUUUGGGCCCUUGCGCAGCACGGGCAUCACCCUCUAGUAACAAUUUUAAGAUCCAAUAUGAAUGCAAUUACAGCAGCAAUAGGAAAUUAGAUCCUUCACAAGUUACUUUUGAGUUUCUAUUUCUACUAGGGAAUAUAUUUUUCUACUAUAUAGAAGAGCCAUACUUGGCUUUUCUCACCACAAUUCUGGAAGAAUCAGUUCAUUCAUCUCUUCUCUUCAAAAAACAUGGACUCCUCUCCUGAAUCCUCUUAUCUCCAUCAGCGGCUGCUCUUUGAAAACAUCUUCUCACUUGGGUCACGGGUGUUGCAAUUUCAGGUUUAAGUUUUUUUAUCUGACUUUUCCCCUAAUUUUCUACCGAUUUUCUUCAGAUUUUGUCAAUUUCAUGGUUGAUAUCGUUAUAAGUUUGCCUAACUUUCUCUGCAAUGUUCUUCAACAUUCAUUUCCAUCCUUUUGUUUUUAUUUUUCGUAUUCAAUCUGUUCGUUUUGCACGAUAUUUAUUUUUAUUCAGUCCUUCAAACACUACUCUUUCAGUUCUCUUCAUCUUCUCUGUUGGGUGUUCCGAUUUCAGGUUGCUUUCUCUCCCGGUUUUCUUAUCGGAAAGAAAGUGUAAAGGAACUUUCUUGCAAGCAAAACUUAAUUCCUGGCAGUUGGCAUCGACAAACCCCUAUACCAGCAGCUUCAUGGCUUUUCUCUGGUAUUUGAGGACCUUUCUAAAGGUUAAAAAGCAAUCGAACUGUCAAUUACUAUGGUAAAAGUGAUACAUUAAACUGAAUUUACAUGUCCACUGUGGUUUUCCUCUAAUGCAAAGAAACUGAUCAAAAGAAUCUUGGAUUCCAAUCCACAGACUGUAGAUGAUGGGUAAGACCUAAUCUGCAUGCACAAUUCUAUGUGCAAUUUCCUUUCAGCAGAUUAUAUAUGCUUAAGGUGUUUAUGGAAGAAGAUUUUGACGAUGAAGCAUGGAGUAUCAGAUAUUUGAGUAUAUGCUGAUACAUCCGAGGUGUGCGAUGAAGCACUUAAGUAUCUCAAGAAAGGAGAACAUGGUAGAAGUUCAUCCCAGUAGAGUGACACUCAUUUGAACCUGCAACAGUUUUUCAGCUUCAAAGGCAUAACAUCACUUGUCAGCCAAAGGAUAUACUACAGGUAUGCCUCCUUUAAUUGUGGAUGUGAUCUUGAAGAUAAGAAAGAUUACUUCUAUAACAGGAAUCUGUAUUGAAAGGAAUCGGAAAAUAAAGAAAUAUUUUAAGUAGAAAUCAGCUCUAUCUAUUAAUGUCAAAGAUCUCUAAAUUUCUGGUUCUUUUGGCAUUUCUGUUGUCGAGCUCAAUUUCAGGUCGCUGUUGAUGCAUUCAGUAGAAUUUGGCCAAGCAAUAGGGCAUGGAAAAUUGCAUAAUGUCAAUGCUAUUGUAGCAUGCCUUUUAUACGAUACUGCUGGUUUGCUUCACCAUACACUUGAAAAGAUGAACAAUUAUACCAAAGGCUACAAACCUGUGUACAAGGUUUGGGGGAGUAUGACAUUGCCAUGGUUAUGAUGUGCCUCCAUGAUAUGCUGGUUGGGGUUAACAUGCUCUCUAUAUAUGUAAUAAAUUCGUGUCUUAAUCCUAAUAGGCCAUUUUCAUAUGUGAUUCUAGCUGAAAAUUUUCAUAGUUCAAUCUUUAAUACAAGUCGGUUCGAUCCGUGGAAACAGCCUCUUGCAAAAAUGCAAGGUAAGUUUGCGUACAAUAGACCCUUGUGGUCCGGCCCUUCCCCGAACCCCGCGCAUAGCGGGAGCUUAGUGCACCGGGCUGCCCUUUUUUUAAUCUUUAAUACAAGUCGUUAGUUCAAUAUUUAAUACUCCGCUACACUUUCUUGCAGUAAAAAAGAAUCCAAGCACUGAGGAAGAUGGUGCCUUUCUUAGACUCAACUAAUGCGACUAUUUUGUUAUGCUUCUUGCUUUUCGCAGUAAUGAGAACCCAAAAAUGUUGGACCCGUGCUCGACUGAAGUUCUCUUGGAACUACAGGUGAGAUCUUUGAUCCAUUGAAUCUUUCUUCCUGUGCAAUUUCCUUUAAUUAGCCCUGACAAGAAUAUAAAAAUCCCAACUACAUAAAAGGUUCCCAAAAAAACAAAUUGAAUCUUUAAAACCAAGCAUAUUUACAUUCUACACAGGGUUGCACGCUGACAAACAAAAAUGGAACAAGAAAACAUGAAAGGCCUACUCAUCAAGUAAUUGACCAAAAAAAAAAAAAAACUACCCAUUAAGCAAAAAGGCAUAAAAAGUAUCAAGUAUAUAUAAAAAUUAACUGUAUAUAUACCUGGUUUAUUGAAAGAGUUCAAUGAGGCUAGAGGCGUGAAGCAUAGCGAACUUGGUUGUUUCUAAAAAGGUUCUCAAAUAAACCAAUUUUAUGGUACAACUCUGAACAUUCAAGGAAUUUAAAAGUAGCAUACAAAAUCGAAAAGGUAUUCUUUUUCCUUUUUACAAUAAAUAAAUGCUAUUUUAAUGCAGUUUUUCUAAGCUGUGUAGUUUCCUAACAAAUGCUGUCAGUUUUUUGUUUUUGUUUUGGUGGGAUUAAUCACUUAAAAUGAUCAAAUCAAGAAUAGCAGGACAAAAUAGCAGGCUGGUAGUUAAGAUUUAAGAAGCUUAUGACAUCUAACCGGUUUGAUAGAACAACUUGCUUAUUCAGUAUGGUAAAAGAAUUUUGUCUCUUCAAUUUCAUUUUCUUAUGGACAUUCCCACAUAUUGAGGUGGGCAUCUGCAGUUGGCUUUGCAAACUGGUGCCAUUAUCUUUGUGCAUAGAAUCUCUUAGCAAGAAGGAUUUGCCAACACGUCGCAUGAUGCUACAGUCACGCAGUAGUUCAAGACAUAGAACUCAUUACUCAUUAGGAAUGGAGGGGUAAAGAUGAUGCUUAUUUGUUAAUAUGACCUUGCUUAUUCAGUAUGGUAAAAGAAUUUUGUCUCUUCAAUUUCAUUUUCUUAUGGACAUUCCCACAUAUUGAGGUGGGCAUCUGCAGUUGGCUUUGCAAACUGGUGCCAUUAUCUUUGUGCAUAGAAUCUCUUAGCAAGAAGGAUUUGCCAACACGUCGCAUGAUGCUACAGUCACGCAGUAGUUCAAGACAUAGAACUCAUUACUCAUUAGGAAUGGAGGGGUAAAGAUGAUGCUUAUUUGUUAAUAUGACCUUUAUGCUUUAUUUUAUUUCUGGUGGAAGCGUUUUGUCUUAUACUUAUUUCUUGCUAAUUUAGGAAGUUCAUAAAAUAAUAGUAGGUUUUAUUUGCUAUCAUUCACUCCAAAUACAACUUGAAAAUUACCUAAAACGCUUUUUUUACUUUUUUCACUUUCAAUUCAUUCAAACAAAAUAUUCUUUGCAAAACUAUAACAAAACAGAAUUGCAUCUUCAACUUCAGC
Lycium barbarum (goji berry) is the source of this 4865-nucleotide long non-coding RNA. RefSeq lists it as uncharacterized. Lineage: Eukaryota; Viridiplantae; Streptophyta; Magnoliopsida; Solanales; Solanaceae. The transcript is spliced from 13 exons. The record is from RefSeq and is a predicted model, not a curated record.